This 254-nucleotide ribosomal RNA is filed under the name uncultured bacterium. Its description in RNAcentral is "partial 16S ribosomal RNA". It matches the Rfam family "Bacterial small subunit ribosomal RNA", at positions 524 to 776 of the family's 1533-position model. The record is from RNAcentral.
UACAGAGGGUGCAAGCGUUGUUCGGAAUUAUUGGGCGUAAAGGGCGCGUAGGCGGUGCGGUAAGUCUGUAGUGAAAUCUCUGGGCCUCAACUCAGAGUCUGCUGCAGAAACUGCCGUGCUUGAGUGUGGGAGAGGUGAGUGGAAUUCCCGGUGUAGCGGUGAAAUGCGCAGAUAUCAGGAAGAACACCCGUGGCUAAGGCGGCUCUCUAGUACGGUACUGACGCUGAGACGCGAAAGCGUGGGGAGCGAACAGG